AUUACUGUAUGACACAGGGUGAAAGAGUGGGUUUUCUUCCACUUUAGUUAUAAGAAAGAUACAAUUAAUAAUGUUCUAAGCCAAUAUGUUUUUAACCAACCUUAUGCCGCCCACACACUAUACGACUAUCAAAGUCGUUGGAAUGCUGUUCUUUUUACACUACACAACUGUCUGUCUAAAAUGGGGUAUCUUGAAGUUGCUGUGGUUUGCACAUUACAUGAGGGAUCAGCGACAAGGGGUCACACAUUACAAAACAUUUCACUAGGAAGAAUCCCCGACAACUCUUGUCUGAUCUCCAAAAUAUGUUUCACAACAAAACGCACACAAGAUGUGAUACAGGAAAUGACGUAAGAUCACGUGUCAGACAGGAGUCCCUGCGCAAUUUCUUCCCUCUAAAAAUGGUGGUUUUGUGAUUCAAGUUGUUUGUGCACUGAUUUGCAGCGAAAAAACAAAAAAGAUAAAGAAGAAAGAAAUAUGGAGGAGAGAAUGGUUGGGGAGACGCGGGCAGCAAGGAUUGUCUGUUCUGCAGAGAGAGUUGGAGAUGCAUGAGAAGACUGGGUUCAGGGAGCUGCUGCGGAUGACACAUCAAAACACAUUUCACACUGCAGGACUUGGAGUCACAGACAGGACUCCUAUCCCGAGGUCACCAGAACCGGCCAGAUCCAGCUCCAUUCCUGCUUGGUAUCGGACACCACUGCUUCAUCACGUGUCUCUGAGUGAUGAUGACAAAAUGCAGCUGGUGCCAGCCAGACAUCACUUCAGUCUAUUACAGUGGACCUCAGAGGAUGAACUGAUUCCAACUCCAACCAUAAGACAUGGGAUACUUCAUAUGCCACUGCCUGAAUCUUGGACUUAGGACAGACUUCAACGAAAUUACUGGUCAGUUGAACUGUGAAGCACCUCACUGAUCUCAGCCUGCAUCACCUUGGUCUAAUGAUGGACUACGCUCUUAAAAUGGAAUACAUUGACUAUCAAUAAAUUGCCAACAAAAGCCUUCAUCAGCCAGCUAACAAAGAGCAAUGCAUCUAUAUGAACUUCUGCAGCUAAUCCAGGAUGAACUUCAAAGAUAUUAGUCAUUAAUCUUACAGUUCUUACAAAAUCUUUUUUUAAGCAGUGGCCUUUAACACUUACUUAGUUUAAUCAUUUUAAACCAUGACUUGCACUGUACAUAAAUAAGUAAUAUUGGCAUUAUAUUCAUGUUGUUUAGCCAGAGGGGACUGGCUCCCACAGUGAUCCUGGUUUCUCCCAAGGUUAUUUUUCUCCAUUAACCAACAUCUUAUGGAGUUUUGUGUUCCUUGCCACAGUCACCUUCAGCUUGCUCACUGGGUUUCUAAAUACAAUUAUUAUUAUACUAUUAUUAUUAUUUCAUAAUCGUAUUUAUUCAAACUACACAAUGAUGACUCUAAGACUUUAUAGAUAUUACAGUAUAAUUUUCUGUUAAUGCAUGAUUUUCUGUAAAGCUGCUUUGAAACGAUGUGUGUUGUGAAAGGCACAAUACAAAUAAAAAUGACGACUUAAUCUUUGAGAAGUAAACAAUUAACCUUUUGAGGUUUAUAUUGAUUAUUUUACAUCAGGCUGUGUGGCAGAACUCAUUUAAUGACCACCAUUGGGAAAAGCAAUGGUCAAGAAUAUGCAGAAAUUUGAGGCAAAUAUUUUUAAGCUGAUAAAAAGUAACAAAUAAUUUGUAGAUAUUUUCUAUAGAAAACUAUUUCCUCUGCAUCACUUUACCAACACUGCCUGACAAAUAUGAGGAUUUGGUCAAAAGAGGGUCUCCAAAGGUUCUUCUUCUCAAUAUUGAGACUUUCUUAAUUUUUGCUUUUGACUAAUGUAGGACACAUCCUAAGUUUUCUAUAAAGGUAUAAUAUUAUGUUAUGUGGCCUUUGGAUCAUGAUUUAACCCUCAUGCACUGUUCGGUCAUUUUUUGACCAAAAUAAAUUUUG
Long non-coding RNA from Myxocyprinus asiaticus (Chinese sucker), 1940 nucleotides. RefSeq lists it as uncharacterized. The record is from RefSeq and is a predicted model, not a curated record. The transcript has 3 exons. NCBI's taxonomy places the organism in Eukaryota, Metazoa, Chordata, Actinopteri, Cypriniformes, Catostomidae.